CACCAACCCAUAUUCUCGGUCCAUUAGGGGAUGACAUAAGUUUCUUUUAGAGGCAGCAAGGGACAAUGUUCCCAAAUAAGAAUCUGACAGAACAGUAUAAGAUUAGUGUCUGUCUAUGCUCUUUUUUGGUUUGAAAAACAAAAACAAAAACAAAACAAAACCAAAACAAUGUUCCCAAACAAGAAUCUGACAGAACACUAUUAGAUUAGUGUUUGUCUAUGAUCUUUUUUGGGUUUGAAAAACCACAAGAACGUCUAUAGCAAGAACAUUACAAGAACGUCUGCCUAAUCUCUUGGGUUUGAUAAAACCACAAGAAAACAAAAAGCUUUAAAAGUCCUGUUAAAAGAGGAAAAUCGUAGUCAAAUAAAAAACAGUUCAAAAUGGAAUCCUGAUUUCAAAAAUCUCAAAACAAAACCGGGAUAAAAGCGCUUCAAAAUAAAACG
This is a long non-coding RNA of Brassica rapa (field mustard), 443 nucleotides long. RefSeq lists it as uncharacterized. Lineage: Eukaryota; Viridiplantae; Streptophyta; Magnoliopsida; Brassicales; Brassicaceae. The record is from RefSeq and is a predicted model, not a curated record.